UACGGAGGGUGCGAGCGUUGUUCGGAAUCACUGGGCGUAAAGCGCGUGUAGGCGGCUCUAUAAGUCUGGUGUGAAAGCCCGGGGCUUACCCCCGGAAGUGCACUGGAAACUGCAGGGCUAGAGUACCGGAGAGGAAGGUGGAAUUCCUGGUGUAGCGGUGAAAUGCGCAGAUAUCAGGAGGAACACCAAUGGCGAAGGCAGCUCGCUGGGACGGUACUGACGCUGAGACGCGAAAGCGUGGGGAGCAAACAGG
Molecule: ribosomal RNA, 253 nt
Filed under: uncultured bacterium
Lineage: Bacteria
Description: partial 16S ribosomal RNA
Rfam family: Bacterial small subunit ribosomal RNA
Source: RNAcentral